AACAAUUUGAUUCUCAAUAAUACAAAAAUUUAUUGUUCUGUUCAGAGUAGUGUACUAGUAUGACAUGCAAAUAUAAACUCUGGAUCUAUUAGACAAAUCACUACAGUUUGUAGAUGUUUUUUCAUCAUCAUUGUCUAGCUAAUGAAAAAUUUAGAUAAAACUAGAGAUAGCAAAUGAGUCAAGUUGGGUGGGUUCUAGUAACCUCGGG
RNAcentral lists this unclassified non-coding RNA (208 nucleotides) under Hevea brasiliensis (rubber tree). Lineage: Eukaryota; Viridiplantae; Streptophyta; Magnoliopsida; Malpighiales; Euphorbiaceae. The record is from RNAcentral.